ACUCCUACGGGAGGCAGCAGUGGGGAAUAUUGGACAAUGGGGGAAACCCUGAUCCAGCAAUGCCGCGUGAGUGAUGAAGGCCUUAGGGUUGUAAAGCUCUUUUACCAGGGAUGAUAAUGACAGUACCUGGAGAAUAAGCUCCGGCUAACUCCGUGCCAGCAGCCGCGGUAAUACGGAGGGAGCUAGCGUUGUUCGGAAUUACUGGGCGUAAAGCGCACGUAGGCGGUUACUCAAGUCAGAGGUGAAAGCCCGGGGCUCAACCCCGGAACUGCCUUUGAAACUAGGUAACUAGAAUCCUGGAGAGGUGAGUGGAAUUCCGAGUGUAGAGGUGAAAUUCGUAGAUAUUCGGAAGAACACCAGUGGCGAAGGCGGCUCACUGGACAGGUAUUGACGCUGAGGUGCGAAAGCGUGGGGAGCAAACAGGAUUAGAUA
RNAcentral lists this ribosomal RNA (432 nucleotides) under uncultured bacterium. RNAcentral's name for it is "bacterial SSU rRNA". It matches the Rfam family "Bacterial small subunit ribosomal RNA", at positions 335 to 784 of the family's 1533-position model. The record is from RNAcentral.